UGGGGAAUAUUGGGCAAUGGGCGAAAGCCUGACCCAGCAACGCCGCGUGAAGGAAGAAGGCUUUCGGGUUGUAAACUUCUUUGACGAGGGAAGAAAAAAAUGACGGUACCUCGAAAACAAGCCACGGCUAACUACGUGCCAGCAGCCGCGGUAAUACGUAGGUGGCAAGCGUUAUCCGGAUUUACUGGGUGUAAAGGGCGCGUAGGCGGGACUGCAAGUCAGAUGUGAAAUGUGGGGGCUUAACCCUCAAGCUGCAUUUGAAACUGUGGUUCUUGAGUAUCGGAGAGGCAGGCGGAAUUCCAAGUGUAGCGGUGAAAUGCGUAGAUAUUUGGAGGAACACCAGUGGCGAAGGCGGCCUGCUGGACGACAACUGACGCUGAGGCGCGAAAGCGUGGGGAGCAAACAGG
RNAcentral lists this ribosomal RNA (407 nucleotides) under uncultured prokaryote. Its description in RNAcentral is "bacterial SSU rRNA". It matches the Rfam family "Bacterial small subunit ribosomal RNA", at positions 355 to 776 of the family's 1533-position model. The record is from RNAcentral. RNAcentral also lists the same sequence under 1 other name.